RNAcentral lists this long non-coding RNA (248 nucleotides) under Felis catus (domestic cat). RNAcentral's name for it is "lncRNA (ENSFCAG00000042901.2)". Lineage: Eukaryota; Metazoa; Chordata; Mammalia; Carnivora; Felidae. The record is from RNAcentral.
GGUGAUUUGCAUGGACCCCAGGAGGCUUACUAAAUGUGCACGUCCAAGUAAACAGCACAGGAAACGAGCCAUGAGGAUAUAAACCUGGUAAUUCUCCAUCAUAAGAAAGACAUCAUGCUGUCCACCUCAUGAAGGAAGAUGAGAUUAAGGCACACACACGGGGAGGGGCAGAAUUGGGCCUUCCAGUGGAGAUGGGCAGAUGACAAAUAAGCAGGUGGUUUUAUGAGUUUCAAGAGGGAUGAACACAG